AACGAACGCUGGCGGCAGGCCUAACACAUGCAAGUCGAGCGAGGACUUCGGUCCUAGCGGCGGACGGGUGAGUAACGCGUGGGAACGUGCCCUUUGCUUCGGAAUAGCCCUGGGAAACUGGGAGUAAUACCGGAUGAGCCCUCUGGGGGAAAGAUUUAUCGGCGAAGGAUCGGCCCGCGUUGGAUUAGGUAGUUGGUGCGGUAAUGGCCUACCAAGCCGACGAUCCAUAGCUGGUCUGAGAGGAUGCUCAGCCACGCUGGGACUGAGACACGGCCCAGACUCCUACGGGAGGCAGCAGUGGGGAAUCUUAGAAAAUGGGGGAAACCCUGAUAUAGCCAUGCCGCGUGAGCGAUGAAGGCCUUAGGGUUGUAAAGCUCUAUCAGCUGGACAGAUAAUGACGGUACAAGCAGAAGAAGCGCCGGCUAACUACGUG
This 433-nucleotide ribosomal RNA is filed under the name uncultured bacterium. RNAcentral's name for it is "partial 16S ribosomal RNA". It matches the Rfam family "Bacterial small subunit ribosomal RNA", at positions 29 to 507 of the family's 1533-position model. The record is from RNAcentral.